This 469-nucleotide long non-coding RNA is filed under the name Vulpes vulpes (red fox). RNAcentral describes it as "lncRNA (ENSVVUG00000023218.1)". Lineage: Eukaryota; Metazoa; Chordata; Mammalia; Carnivora; Canidae. The record is from RNAcentral.
CUUUCUCUGUAUCUCUGCUUAAUAAAUUUCUAUCACUUUGUUCACUCUCUAUUGUCCAUGAGAUUCUUUGACUUUAUGAGACAAGAACCAAGCUCUCCCAUACCAAGGUGAUAUAUAUGCAUGUUGAAAAUUCUUGGAAACAUAUGCUAUGGAGUUCUGGGGACACUCCUCUACCAGAGAAGUCUCUACGUGGAUAAUACCUCCAACAUUCUGAUGUCUUUGUCAACUAUCAUAUUCUUAAUAAGGCUUAGGGAUCAAUUUAUUACAAUUGUGAGCCCUUCUUCCAUCACAAGUGCUUUUAGUGUCCUAUCUAGGUGAAGAUACAAGAUACGAGAUACAAGCUUGUGGUUAUGGAAUCAAUAAGUAAGUCACAGGAAUUCAAAGUACAUCACAAGGAGUAUCUUCAAUGGUAUUUUAAUAACAUUGUAUGGUAAUAUAUGGUAGCGACCCUUGUGAGCAUAGCUUGUUG